This 199-nucleotide ribosomal RNA is filed under the name uncultured bacterium. Its description in RNAcentral is "partial 16S ribosomal RNA". It matches the Rfam family "Bacterial small subunit ribosomal RNA", at positions 335 to 526 of the family's 1533-position model. The record is from RNAcentral.
ACUCCUACGGGAGGCAGCAGUGGGGAAUUUUGGACAAUGGACGCAAGUCUGAUCCAGCCAUUCCGCGUGCAGGAUGAAGGCCCUCGGGUUGUAAACUGCUUUUGUACGGAACGAAAAGGUCUCUAUUAAUACUGGGGGCUCAUGACGGUACCGUAAGAAUAAGCACCGGCUAACUACGUGCCAGCAGCCGCGGUAAUAC